GAAUCUGUGGUGUAAUGGUAGCGCGUCUCACCCUAGAUCAGAAGGUCGAGUGUUUGAUUCACGUCGGAUUCA
Molecule: transfer RNA, 72 nt
Filed under: Zea mays
Lineage: Eukaryota; Viridiplantae; Streptophyta; Magnoliopsida; Poales; Poaceae
Rfam family: tRNA
About the family: Transfer RNA (tRNA) molecules are approximately 80 nucleotides in length. Their secondary structure includes four short double-helical elements and three loops (D, anti-codon, and T loops).
Source: Rfam by way of RNAcentral